This 23-nucleotide non-coding RNA is filed under the name Mus musculus (house mouse). Lineage: Eukaryota; Metazoa; Chordata; Mammalia; Rodentia; Muridae. The record is from RNAcentral.
UGAGUUCCGGUGCGCUGUUGCCC